This 500-nucleotide ribosomal RNA is filed under the name uncultured bacterium. Its description in RNAcentral is "partial 16S ribosomal RNA". It matches the Rfam family "Bacterial small subunit ribosomal RNA", at positions 30 to 523 of the family's 1533-position model. The record is from RNAcentral.
AUUGAACGCUGGCGGAAUGCUUUACACAUGCAAGUCGAACGGCAGCACGGACUUCGGCCUGGUGACGAGUGGCGAACGGGUGAGUAAUGUAGUGGAACGUGCUUAGCCGUCGGGGAGAACGUAGUGAAAAUUACGCAAAUAUCGCAUUCGAUCUUUGGAUGAAAACGGGGGAGCGCAAGACCUCGCGCGAUUGGAGCGGCCGAUAUCAGAUUAGGUAGUUGGUGGGGUAAAGGCCCACCAAGCCAACGACCUGUAGCGGGUCUGAGAGGACGACCAGGCACACUGGAACUGAGACACGGUCCAGACUCCUACGGGAGGCAGCAGUGGGGAAUUUUGGACAAUGGGCGAAAGCCUGAUCCGGCCAUUCCGCGUGCAGGAUGAAGGCACUCGGUUUGUAAACUGCUUUUGUACAGAACGAAAAGGUUUCUACUAAUUCUAGGAGCUCAUGACGGUACUGUAAGAAUAAGCACCGGCUAACUACGUGCCAGCCGCCGCGGUAA